This 213-nucleotide non-coding RNA is filed under the name Lysinibacillus contaminans. Its description in RNAcentral is "T-box sequence". It matches the Rfam family "T-box leader". Rfam says of the family: Uncharged tRNA acts as the effector for transcription antitermination of genes in the T-box leader family. T-boxes are found upstream of many aminoacyl-tRNA synthetase genes and some amino acid biosynthetic genes usually in Gram-positive bacteria. Lineage: Bacteria; Bacillati; Bacillota; Bacilli; Caryophanales; Bacillaceae. The record is from RNAcentral.
UAAAAAACGAUGAUGGAACAAGUACGUAUUUGCAAGUGUUCAGAAAGGGAUUUCUAGGCUGAAAAAAUCCUCACAACAAGCAAAUGCCGAAAGCUACUCCUGAGUGCAGCUAACCCCUGCCGUUCACUUACGUUACAAGUGCUUGAGAGGUAAGUUUUAAUAACUUACAACUAGGGUGGUACCGCGAGAUGAUUAUAAGUCCUCGUCCCUUUU